UGUUUUUUUGGCCAAUCAAAUUUUAGCAGGAAUUCGGUGCGAAGUGAUAAAAUGGCGGCUGAUGGAGCAGCAGCAGAAGGAGGAGAAGACUUUGAUCCGCGAUCUGGUGAUAUAGAGUUCCACGAGACGCACAUAAAUAGUGCACUUACAGCACCGGACCAGAAACUGUGGUAUCAUGGGAGGCUUGGAAGAGCAGGUGCAGAGGACCUCCUGCGAGAGCAAGAGGCUGGCAGCUACCUGGUACGGGAGAGUGAGAGCAAGCUUGGCUCCUUUGUGCUGUCCUAUCUUGGUCAAAAUCACAAAAUUACACAUUUCAGGAUACUGGCAAUGUGUGGGGACUAUUACAUAGGUGGUCGUCAGUUUGAGUCUCUUUCUGACUUGAUCGGCUACUACACCACCUGCUCCUGUCUGCUGAAAAAUGAGCAACUCAUUCAUCCAGUCGCGCCACAGGAGCCUGUGGAUGACAGAAGACGUGUGGUGGCUAUGCUCUCCUACAGAAAAGCAGCUGAUUCAGAUGAGCUGAGUUUUUGCAAAGGCGAUGUGUUUGUUGUGCAAAAUGAACUUGAAGAUGGAUGGCUUUGGGUGACAUCAGAGCGAACCAAGGAAAGUGGACUUGUACCCGCCCCAUUUGUAAAAGAUUUGGACGGUGACUAUGAACCAGUUGAAAGCCUUCCUUACUAUCAUAGCUGUCUUAGCAAAGAAGAAGCAGUUGAAAAACUUAUGCAAGCUGGAGAAGGAAGCUUUCUUGUCAGACAGAGCGAGAACUACCCUGGUGACUAUUCACUUUUCUUCCUGUGCGAAAAGGAUGUUCGACGCUUUCGCAUAGAAAAAAGAGGAAAUCAGUUCCUCGUUGGUGGUCGAUUUUUUGACAGUUUAGAUGGUGUGAUCAAGCGAUACAUGAAAGAAGAAAUAGUAGAAGGGCAUACUUUGCGCUACCCGGUCUACAGAGACAUCUUUGACAGUAAUAAUACACGUUUUGAGCGUUUGACUGUGGAUGGCAGCGAUGAUAUUUAUGCUCCUAUUCGCCAAAGUACAGGUCCAAAGCUUGUCACAAGAACAAAUGACAGAAUCGAAAUGUCUGGUUACCUUCAUUUCAGAAAUGAAAAGAUGAAAAAAUUUAAAUCUUACUAUUUUGUCCUGAAUGGAACUGAGAAGAUACUGUACUUCUUUGAAAAUGAAAAGCGAUCAAAGCCUAAAGGGUUGAUAGAACUUGAACACACAUCAGUCUACCCUGUCCAUGACAGUCUUUUUGGCAGACCAAACUGUUUCUUGCUAGUUUCUACAUAUGACAACAGCAAGACAACAAGUUACAUUGGUGCUGAGAGCAGUGAAGUCAUUAGGAGAUGGGUGCAUAUAUUGAAGUCAGCAUGCUCAAAUAUGCUGGCGGCGAUGCCAGCAAAGGGUCUUCGUGCUCUUCACAGCCUGUCAGUGACUGUCAUCUCAGCCCAUCAUGUGCCCAAUAAACUGCUGACACACCCUGCCUGCUACCUGGCUCUCAAUCAGCACAGAGUGGGACGUACACAGUUGUAUGAAGGGCCAGACCCAUUCUGGAAUGAAGAGUUUCAAUUAGAUGAUAUUCCACCUGACGUUGAAAACUUUACUGUGUCCUUGUACAAUGUCAAGCGCACCCGAGAAAUGUUAAUAGGGUCUGUCACAAUUCAGCUGUCGUCACUGGAGAACCAGGAGCUUGCCGAUGAGCAUCAUCCUUUAGCCUUUCUAGGUGGUGCUUUGCCCAAAGGAGAAGUCGGGACUCUCCGUCUCAAGGCAUACUAUCAACAUCAAGUACUGCUUCCACAGGCUGAGUACACCAGUCUCAAAGAACUGCUUUUAGAGGAGGGGUAUGAGAACCUGCUCACCCUGGCCCAGCUUUGUCCCAAGCACGAAUGGACCACACUGGCCCGAGCACUUUUGCGCAUUUUCAGUUCUGACCGCAAGGAGGUGGUCCUCCUCAGAACCCUGAAUGAUCACGAAAUUGAGAAGGAAGUGGAGGUGUCAACCUUGUUUCGAGCUACCACACUGGCAACAACUUUAAUGGACCAGUACAUGAAAAUGACUUCCACAGACUUUGUAAGGCAAGCCGUCCAGUCAGGGGUCCAUAAAGUCCUGGAGCUUAAACACUCGUGUGAGCUGAAUCCAGCUCUCCUGGAUGGUACAACUGACUCAAAAGCUAAUUCAGAGCUCCUUUUAUCUCUUCUAAACACAAUAGUAGAAGAUAUCUUCAGAGCAGCCGACUCAUGCCCAUCGCAGCUGCGGUACAUUUGCAACUGCUUGCAACGAAAAGCAAGAGCUAAAUGGCCUGAAGAUGAAACUGUCCGAACCAGGGUAGUUAGCAGUUUUAUAUUUCUCCGACUGUUGUGCCCUGCUAUCGUGAACCCUAAGUCUUUCAGCUUGGUGGCUGAGAACCCAUCAGAGACAGCAGCACGUACCUUAAAGCUUAUUGCCAAAGUUCUGCAAAUGUUGGCAAAUCUUGUUGAUGCAGGUCCCAAGUGGAGCCUAGGGCUGCAACUACACCACGCCAUUGGACCCUGUUCUGGGCGUCCCUCUCCAGUUGGGACCAUGUGAAAUAAAACUAUAGGAACAGUUUAUUAUUUGUUGUUAUCACUUUUGAAGUGCCAUCAAAUUGAUCUUGACAGGAGGCAGCUUGGUGGAUCUGUUUUCAAGCUUAUUUCAUGGAGCAGAUUUUUUACACUGCAUUGCUGAAGGUAUCUUUAGUAUUGUCAUCCAGAGUCAUCCACCAGGCUAAUAACAUUAUGGGUAUAUCACAGCCGCCACUUUCUGACUUGUACCUUCAUGCAGUCAGAAAGAUGGCAUAUAACAUCAUUUUGGAUCUAACGCACCCUCUCCAUCCCAACUUUCAGCUGUUGCCCUCAGGCAGGUGCUAUAAAAUACCACGUGUGCGAAAAUCUGCCUACCAAAGGUCCUUCGUGCUAGCAGCCAUCAUCAUCCUAAAUAAAAGACACAAGGACUCGUAGGUCUACCACUAGGAUGCCUCCUGUGAAGUUACCUAUUUGUGUGUGAGAAUGUGUAGGUGCGUGUGUGUGUUAAAUGUCUAUAUGAGUAUGUAUGCCUGCCCGUCAUAUUAUAUGUGUUUGUGACCAAAAGACAAAUUUCUGUCUUGGGUUUCCUCAACAGACAAUAAAGUUUGAUUUGAUUUUAUUUUAUUGUGAACAACAUUUUCUAAAAAGUAAUCAGUAGUAAGAUUUCUUGAUAUAUUCUAAUAAAGUUAUGUGUUGUCUUUUUUAGGAACCCUUUAUGGAGGUGGUGCAUCCAUUCAUCAGAAGAAACCGGGAACGUUUAGUAGCAUUUUUGGAUGAACUUGCUUGUGUGACAGAUAGACCCAGUUAUGCAGGAACAUCACCUGGUGAUAUCGCCAGAGAGCUUGCUGUCAUUCA
This 3392-nucleotide unclassified non-coding RNA is filed under the name Pomacea canaliculata. RNAcentral describes it as "ras GTPase-activating protein 1-like, transcript variant X1". The record is from RNAcentral. Lineage: Eukaryota; Metazoa; Mollusca; Gastropoda; Architaenioglossa; Ampullariidae.